UUGUAUGCUUUCUCCAUAGGAAGUUUGUGGUCUAUGAAGUAUUACGGGAAGAUGAGUUUUCUCCGUUAAAGAAUGCUGACAGCCAGAAUGGGAAAGACAACCCCACCACCGCAAGGCAUGCCUUGCUCUCCCUCCACCACUGCUGGGUCCUCAAUGCAGGGGGCCACUUCAUAGAUGAAAAUGGCUCUCGUCUUCCUGCCAUCCCCCGCCGUGCUACAAAUGGGAAGUCAGAGACCAUCACAGCUGAUGUCAAUCAAAAUUUGAAGGAUGCCAAUGAUGUGCCAAUCCAAUGUGAAAUCUCUCCUCUCAUCUCUUAUGCAGGAGAAGGGAUAGAAAGUUAUGUGGCAGAUAAAGAAUUCCAUGCACCAUUAAUAAUUGAUGAGAAUGGAAUCCAUGAGUUGGUGAAGAAUGGUUUAUGAACACAUCCCACAUACCUACAAUGAAAUAGCUUUUAUUUUUGAUAACCUGACUGUGAAAUGACCCAUCCUGGAGUACUCGUUUGAAUUUCCAUAAGAUUUCAUUUUGCUUGUUGAACUCUUGCAACUAUUACAUAUCCCUCAGACCCAGUUGACUAAAUUUCACAAAACAUUUUUAUGAUUCUCAAAUCAUUGAAGGUUUUAUUUAUAUUUUUCAACUGUAUAAUUGUUUUUCCACGCUAAGGCAAGCAUUGACUGACCAGACAGUUGCCUUCUGCAUAACUCUCAUCAUGGUGUUCAAUAUCUCUUUACCUGGAACUGGAAGCAUGUUUUUGAGGUUGUACAUAUAUUCAUUGUUUUUAUGGUACUAAAAGUUUGUUUUAUUUUAUCAGAAAUGAAACUUUUUAAAGAAAAUAAUUGGACAGUAAAAUAAACUUUUCUUCUGGUCUC
Erinaceus europaeus (western European hedgehog) is the source of this 866-nucleotide long non-coding RNA. RefSeq lists it as uncharacterized. The record is from RefSeq and is a predicted model, not a curated record. The transcript has 4 exons. NCBI's taxonomy places the organism in Eukaryota, Metazoa, Chordata, Mammalia, Eulipotyphla, Erinaceidae.